Molecule: small RNA, 99 nt
Filed under: Arsenophonus endosymbiont of Aleurodicus floccissimus
Lineage: Bacteria; Pseudomonadati; Pseudomonadota; Gammaproteobacteria; Enterobacterales; Morganellaceae
Description: rimP
Rfam family: Gammaprotebacteria rimP leader
Source: RNAcentral
AACCUACUGGAAGUGUAUAGGGUCCAGUUGCAUAAAGCCCCGGUUUUCGGGGUUUUUUGUUAUUUAAAACAGAAUUACUGGGCUUUUAGCCCUUUUUUU